CUGCAGCCAGCUAAGCUGGCCGGGUUCCUUUCCUCAUGGUGGCCCCACAUGCAAUGGAUGCAGACAGCAGCCUCCUUGCUAGCGUACGUAACCUUGUGCUUGUACAGGUGGCCCUGGGGAACCCUGGAGACCGUU
Molecule: small nucleolar RNA, 135 nt
Filed under: Jaculus jaculus (lesser Egyptian jerboa)
Lineage: Eukaryota; Metazoa; Chordata; Mammalia; Rodentia; Dipodidae
Description: Small nucleolar RNA SNORA70 (ENSJJAG00000001318.1)
Rfam family: Small nucleolar RNA SNORA70
About the family: snoRNA U70 seems to be exclusive to mammals and is a member of the H/ACA class of snoRNA which contain H (ANANNA) and ACA box motifs. H/ACA box snoRNAs are involved in the conversion of uridines to pseudouridines (5-ribosyluracil) a constituent of structural RNAs (transfer, ribosomal, small nuclear, and small nucleolar).
Source: Rfam by way of RNAcentral